Molecule: long non-coding RNA, 321 nt
Filed under: Mytilus galloprovincialis (Mediterranean mussel)
Lineage: Eukaryota; Metazoa; Mollusca; Bivalvia; Mytilida; Mytilidae
Source: RNAcentral
CACCUGUCAAGCUGUUGAUAAACAUUUCCAAUAAAACAGUGUAAUAUCCUAGAAGGAAUAAUGUAUACUUCCUACCUCCUUAAUAAUGAAUGAUUUCCUACACAUUUAUUUUAAUCACUGAAUCCUUGUAGUACAUGAAUAUCACAUUGAAUUUUCCUUUUCUAUUCACAUUGAUUUAUCACUGUUUAUUCUCAUAGCAAUUUUGAAGUAAAAAUAACACAUGAUUUGUGAAUAUUUUGGAAUCAAUCCUUCCUUUUUAGGGUUUAUCCAGUUGACAUCAUAAAAGCUAUGUUUUACUUCUAGUGUAAAUAUAUAGGUCAC